Helianthus annuus (common sunflower) is the source of this 270-nucleotide long non-coding RNA. RefSeq lists it as uncharacterized. NCBI's taxonomy places the organism in Eukaryota, Viridiplantae, Streptophyta, Magnoliopsida, Asterales, Asteraceae. The record is from RefSeq and is a predicted model, not a curated record. The transcript is spliced from 3 exons.
AUCAUGUCAAGAUGGUUGAGAGCGUGGAAGGCUAACGGGCUAAGAAGACUCAAGUAAGCGAACGCAAAUACGGACGCACAAAGUUAUACAGGUUUAUGGAUUUCUCAUCAUUGAGUGUAUGCGGUCGAAGAUCAAGUUAAGACAUGGAUUGUACUUGUGGGUGCAUGGUCACGUAAUUUAGUAUACGUAUGUCAGGUCUUAAUUAAAUAUAUAGAAGCGAUUAAAGUAUUUAAGGUGAAAGAAUGAAUAUAAUGAAAGAAAUUUUAAAUA